RNAcentral lists this ribosomal RNA (768 nucleotides) under Klebsiella pneumoniae. Its description in RNAcentral is "partial 23S ribosomal RNA". It matches the Rfam family "Bacterial large subunit ribosomal RNA", at positions 419 to 1190 of the family's 2925-position model. The record is from RNAcentral. Lineage: Bacteria; Pseudomonadati; Pseudomonadota; Gammaproteobacteria; Enterobacterales; Enterobacteriaceae.
GGGACACGUGGUAUCCUGUCUGAAUAUGGGGGGACCAUCCUCCAAGGCUAAAUACUCCUGACUGACCGAUAGUGAACCAGUACCGUGAGGGAAAGGCGAAAAGAACCCCGGCGAGGGGAGUGAAAAAGAACCUGAAACCGUGUACGUACAAGCAGUGGGAGCACCUUCGGGUGUGACUGCGUACCUUUUGUAUAAUGGGUCAGCGACUUAUAUUCUGUAGCAAGGUUAACCGUAUAGGGGAGCCGCAGGGAAACCGAGUCUUAACUGGGCGUUAAGUUGCAGGGUAUAGACCCGAAACCCGGUGAUCUAGCCAUGGGCAGGUUGAAGGUUGGGUAACACUAACUGGAGGACCGAACCGACUAAUGUUGAAAAAUUAGCGGAUGACUUGUGGCUGGGGGUGAAAGGCCAAUCAAACCGGGAGAUAGCUGGUUCUCCCCGAAAGCUAUUUAGGUAGCGCCUCGUGAACUCAUCUUCGGGGGUAGAGCACUGUUUCGGCUAGGGGGUCAUCCCGACUUACCAACCCGAUGCAAACUACGAAUACCGAAGAAUGUUAUCACGGGAGACACACGGCGGGUGCUAACGUCCGUCGUGAAGAGGGAAACAACCCAGACCGCCAGCUAAGGUCCCAAAGUCAUGGUUAAGUGGGAAACGAUGUGGGAAGGCACAGACAGCCAGGAUGUUGGCUUAGAAGCAGCCAUCAUUUAAAGAAAGCGUAAUAGCUCACUGGUCGAGUCGGCCUGCGCGGAAGAUGUAACGGGGCUAAACCAU